CGAGAGGACCGGAGUGGACGCAUCACUGGUGUUCGGGUUGUCAUGCCAAUGGCACUGCCCGGUAGCUAAAUGCGGAAGAGAUAAGUGCUGAAAGCAUCUAAGCACGAAACUUGCCCCGAGAUGAGUUCUCCCUGACUCCUUGAGAGUCCUGAAGGAACGUUGAAGACGACGACGUUGAUAGGCCGGGUGUGUAAGCGCAGCGAUGCGUUGAGCUAACCGGUACUAAUGAACCGUGAGGCUUAACCUUACAACGCCGAAG
RNAcentral lists this ribosomal RNA (259 nucleotides) under Escherichia coli. RNAcentral's name for it is "partial 23S ribosomal RNA". It matches the Rfam family "Bacterial large subunit ribosomal RNA", at positions 2684 to 2925 of the family's 2925-position model. Lineage: Bacteria; Pseudomonadati; Pseudomonadota; Gammaproteobacteria; Enterobacterales; Enterobacteriaceae. The record is from RNAcentral.